RNAcentral lists this long non-coding RNA (1511 nucleotides) under Salvator merianae (Argentine black and white tegu). Its description in RNAcentral is "lncRNA (ENSSMRG00000016121.1)". Lineage: Eukaryota; Metazoa; Chordata; Lepidosauria; Squamata; Teiidae. The record is from RNAcentral.
CCGGAAUUUUGCAGGUGGCUACCUGCACCGCUCUGACCAAUCAGAGGAAGGCGCUUCCGACUUCGCAGCGCCAGGGAGGGGGUGCUUCCCUUUCGGCUUAAGGUCCUCCGACGGCACGGGCGGCGGCGGCGGCGACCGGACGAGCUUCAAGCCAAGGCGGCGACAUCCUCAGGCGUCCCAGUGGGCGCUCGGGCGGCUUCUCAGGGCCUUAUAUGGACCCUUAACGAUGACCAGCAAUGGCGUUAGUGGGUCUGGCAGUGGCAGUGGCAGUGGAAGUAGCAGCAGCAGCAAAGGCCGAGGUGUUCUGUGGAGGCUCCAGGAAACCUUGCAUCUGCUGGACAUUUGGGGAGAGCAGAAUAUGCAGGAUCAGCUCCGCAACACGUACCAGAAUCUGGAAUGCUUCGAGUACAUUGCCCAGGAGAUGGCCAGGAGGGGUUACCGUCGCACUGCCGUGGAGUGCCGCUCAAAAGCCAAAGCACUGAGGCUGGCAUACAAGCGCGUGAUCGAUCACAAUGCCAAAGCGGGGAGCAAUCAGAUGACCUGCCCUUUUUAUGACCAGCUGCACCAGAUCCUCCGGGGGGACGCCAGUGCAAAAUCCAAGUGGGUUCCACAGCGCCUCAGUUUCCAAGAUGGAUCUCAGCAAGAAGCCGCCCUGGCACCUCCACAGACAGUAUCGGAAGAUGUUAUGUCGCACGAUUUCCCCGUAAUUGAUGAUGAUGGACAAUAUAUCAAACAGGAGGACACCGAAACUACAGUGGGAACUGAUAACGGCAUUGAGGAAAUGAGAGAGAUGGGAGGUGAGAACAUACCUCAAGGGAAGGAGGAAAGCAGCAAUGAGAGCUGGGGAAGAAAUCUGGAUUCUCAAAGACCCCAAGUAAGUCCUGAAGAACAGGACUCUUUCAGCUGCGUAGAUCCUGUUGAGGCCAAUUCUCCUUUAUCACCAUCUCCUACUCCCAUGGUGAGGUCCAGGAAGAAAAAGAAGACAGAUGUCAUGUUUGAGCAGUUCCUGCAGCAGUCCAGAGAACAGCACAAGGAGCUUCUCCUCGAAAUGGCCCGUGACAGAGAGGUGGCGCUGGACUUCCUGAAGAGCUUCAAGGAGGAUGCCGCAGAACACCGGGAGGAGAGCGAGCACCUUACGGAGACAAUGUACACCCAGAAUGAGACUUUGAAGGGACUGGUUGCUAAUUUGAACAGCUUGAUUGAUGCCUUUGUGAACCAAUCCCAGAACAGGCAUUGUUCUAAUACCUCCCACAGCACCGCAAUGCAAUGAGGGAACCAGGCCGAACAACAAGAGUUGCAGCCUCUGGCAUCUGCUGCACUGCUGGCGUGGCAAUAAUUUCACUUAUCCAGAGUUCCACAGCCUGGCCACACAUUUCCUGAAGACCACCAUAGUGACACCUAUGAGUGACCACUGCGGAGAGCUGUGUUUUUAUACAGAUUUUUUGGAAAGUGUUCAAGAAUAUUUUUUUAAGCAAAAUAAAGAGUUAUUUAAAAAAAAAGGGGGGGGAACA